This 1892-nucleotide long non-coding RNA is filed under the name Ricinus communis (castor bean). RNAcentral describes it as "long non-coding RNA (RCOM_LNC003008)". Lineage: Eukaryota; Viridiplantae; Streptophyta; Magnoliopsida; Malpighiales; Euphorbiaceae. The record is from RNAcentral.
AUUAUAAAUACCAAUAUCUCUUAAGCUUGAAUGAUAUCGAGAAUGUAAAAGAAAUAAGAUCAGAGGUCUUCUAUAUAUAUAUAUAUAUUAUUUCUUUUAGAUUCUCGAUAUCAUUCAAGCUUAAAAGAUAUGGGUAUUUAUAAUAACCCAUACUGAUAUAAGCCAUCCAUUUUUACCAACAUAUACAUUUAUAUCUACACAUUUUAUUUACUAAAUUAGGCAUAUACUUAAAUUAGAUUUGGUUUUAAUUUAUGAGCUAAUAUUGAUUCUUACCAAUAGCUUUGUAGGUAGAUCCAAUUUUACAAUAGAUCUAUCUUUACAAGGUAUCUUUUCAUAGGUGCAGUAGAAGGUGAUUCCAUCUUGCUAUUUUAAAGUUCAACUUUAUGAUGGUUGGAUGUGGUGGCUUGGCCAUGGUGAUGUCUUUUUCUACCCCCUCCUAUAUGUCCUUGAGACUUUGAUUGCCUUUAUUGAACCUUGAGGGUUAUUAAUCCUAUUUUGAUGGUUACAAACAAUUAAAGAAUGACUAAUUUUUAUGUUUGAGUGUUUAUGUGCAAGGAAAGUAAUUGGUUCUUUUAAGACAGGGUAGAUUCAGGCCCAUGAAUAAAAAUUCACGGGCGUGAAACUUCAUUUUUCCAACCGUGAAAGAACAAUUCACAACCAUGAAGAAUUUUCACCUCAAAUAACAAAAAGGGCAAUGGCGUUUACGUAUCCUUUCCAGCCAUGAAAACGAGAAUUCACCGUAGUGAAGAAAUGUUCACACCCGUGAAAAAUGCCUUCCUCCCAAAACUUGAAAAAACUACAGAAGAGUUCACGGUCAAAGUUUACAAGCCUUGAACAAAUCUUUCCAACCGUGAAGAAAAAGUUUGUGCCUGUGAAUGAUGGAAACUCUCCAAAACUUCAAGAAACCAUAGUAAAGGUCACGACUAAAGUUCCCAAGCUGUGAAACCUGAGUUCCAAACCGUGAAAGGAGACUUUCCAACCGUGAAAAAUUCUUCCUACGCGUGAAGCUGCAUUUAUGAAGGUUAUUGAAACUGCUACUUUUACAUAUCUUUAUUUCACAUAGAAAUAUUCAAUCAUUUUUAAGUGUUCUAAGUCAAGCAAGAGCAUUUAUUUUUGGCCCCCAUUGUACAUUUAUUCUCAAGAACUUUGAAUCUUCAUCUUGUAUUAAAGAUUCAAGCUUGGAAUUGAAUAUUUGGGUAGUUGGGUAUUUAAUUCUUGUAUUCAAAGCUCGAAAAGGGAGAUUGAAUGUUUUGGGUAAGGGAUUAAAAGCUCUUGUAACUAAGACUGAAAAUCUUAGAGUGGGUUAGAGUAUGAGCCUCGGAAAACACUUGGUUUAGAGUGUGAGCAUUUAGGAAAAUAGUCGAAUUUGUUCUUAGCCUUAUAAAAUAACAUAAAUAGAGUUAGGUUUGUAAUUUUAUUUGAUAGUGGAAAUGUCAAGUGAAUUCUUGAGGAGUGGAUGUAGGCAAGAGUUGGCUGAACCACUAUAAAUUCUUGGGUUGUGAGUUGUGUUUGAUUUUUUAUUCUUUUUUAGUUUUUAAAUUCAAUCAAUUCACCCCUCCCCCGCUCUUGGUUGCCCCUAGAAUUACAUUUGAUUUCAGAGCUUUGGUCUUCUUUAUCAAAGAUUUAGUCAUCUUGAAGUAAAGGUUCAUGGCAACCACAUCAAACCAUAAUGGAUGGGGUCAAGCAUUCAAUAGGCCACCCUACUUUGAUGGAACUGAUUACCUAUAUUGGAAGAAUCGCAUGGAGAUAUUCCUUAAAAGUAAUGGAAUUGACCUUUGGGAUAUUGUAGAAGAAGGCGUGACUCUUCCAAUAAAGAAGGAAAAUGGUAUUGAAAUGUUCAAGACAAAGAAAGAAAGCUUUACUUAAGGGAUAAAAAGGCUAUGAACAUUCUC